GAUGAACGCUGGCGGCGUGCUUAACACAUGCAAGUCGAACGGUGAAGGCGGAGCUUGCUCUGCUGGAUCAGUGGCGAACGGGUGAGUAACACGUGAGCAAUCUGCCCCUGACUCUGGGAUAAGCGCUGGAAACGGCGUCUAAUACUGGAUACGAGCUGCGAGGGCAUCUUCAGCAGCUGGAAAGAAUUUCGGUCAGGGAUGAGCUCGCGGCCUAUCUGCUUGUUGGUGAGGUAAUGGCUCACCAAGGCGUCGACGGGUAGCCGGCCUGAGAGGGUGACCGGCCACACUGGGACUGAGACACGGCCCAGACUCCUACGAGAGGCAGCAGUGGGGAAUAUUGCACAAUGGGCGAAAGCCUGAUGCAGCAACGCCGCGUGGGGGACGACGGCCUUCGGGUUGUAAACCUCUUUUAGCAGGGAAGAAGCGAAAGUGACGGUACCUGCAGAAAAAGCGCCGGCUAACUACGUG
This 468-nucleotide ribosomal RNA is filed under the name uncultured bacterium. RNAcentral describes it as "partial 16S ribosomal RNA". It matches the Rfam family "Bacterial small subunit ribosomal RNA", at positions 28 to 507 of the family's 1533-position model. The record is from RNAcentral.